Molecule: ribosomal RNA, 491 nt
Filed under: uncultured bacterium
Lineage: Bacteria
Description: bacterial SSU rRNA
Rfam family: Bacterial small subunit ribosomal RNA
Source: RNAcentral
AUUGAACGCUGGCGGCAGGCCUAACACAUGCAAGUCGAGCGGUAGCACAAGAGAGCUUGCUCUCUGGGUGACGAGCGGCGGACGGGUGAGUAAUGUCUGGGAAACUGCCUGAUGGCGGGGGAUAACUAGUGGAAACGGUAGCUAAUACCGCAUAACGUCGCAAGACCAAAGUGGGGGACCUUCGGGCCUCACGCCAUCAGAUGUGCCCAGGUGGGAUUAGCUGGUAGGUGGGGUAACGGCUCACCUAGGCGACGAUCCCUAGCUGGUCUGAGAGGAUGACCAGCCACACUGGAACUGAGACACGGUCCAGACUCCUACGGGAGGCAGCAGUGGGGAAUAUUGGACAAUGGGCGCAAGCCUGAUCCAGCCAUACCGCGUGGGUGAAGAAGGCCUUCGGGUUGUAAAGCCCUUUUGUUGGGAAAGAAAUCCAGCCGGCUAAUACCCGGUUGUUCUGACGGUACCCAAAGAAUAAGCACCGGCUAACUUCGUGC